RNAcentral lists this ribosomal RNA (365 nucleotides) under uncultured bacterium. RNAcentral describes it as "bacterial SSU rRNA". It matches the Rfam family "Bacterial small subunit ribosomal RNA", at positions 29 to 416 of the family's 1533-position model. The record is from RNAcentral.
AACGAACGCUGGCGGCAGGCUUAACACAUGCAAGUCGAACGGUUGUAGCAAUACAGCAGUGGCAGACGGGUGAGUAACACGUGGGAACCUUCCUAGGGGUACGGAACAACUCAGGGAAACGUUAGAGCUAAUACCGUAUACGUCCGUGAGGAGAAAGAUUUAUCGCCCUUAGACGGGCCCGCGUAGGAUUAGGUAGUUGGUGGGGUAAGUGGCCUACCAAGCCUACGAUCCUUAGCUGAUCUGAGAGGAUGAUCAGCCACACUGGGACUGAGACACGGCCCAGACUCCUACGGGAGGCAGCAGUGGGGAAUCUUGGACAAUGGGCGCAAGCCUGAUCCAGCCAUGCCGCGUGAGUGAAGAAGGCC